CCGGAGCUUGCUCCACCGGGAAAAGAGGAGUGGCGAACGGGUGAGUAACACGUGGGUAACCUGCCCAUCAGAAGGGGAUAACACUUGGAAACAGGUGCUAAUACCGUAUAACAAUCGAAACCGCAUGGUUUCGUUUUGAAAGGCGCUUUACGGUGCCGCUGAUGGAUGGACCCGCGGUGCAUUAGCUAGUUGGUGAGGUAACGGCUCACCAAGGCCACGAUGCAUAGCCGACCUGAGAGGGUGAUCGGCCACAUUG
Molecule: ribosomal RNA, 256 nt
Filed under: uncultured bacterium
Lineage: Bacteria
Description: partial 16S ribosomal RNA
Rfam family: Bacterial small subunit ribosomal RNA
Source: RNAcentral